RNAcentral lists this ribosomal RNA (725 nucleotides) under uncultured bacterium. Its description in RNAcentral is "bacterial SSU rRNA". It matches the Rfam family "Bacterial small subunit ribosomal RNA", at positions 34 to 807 of the family's 1533-position model. The record is from RNAcentral.
CGCUGGCGGCAGGCUUAACACAUGCAAGUCGAACGCCCCGCAAGGGGAGUGGCAGACGGGUGAGUAACGCGUGGGAAUCUACCCAUCCCUACGGAAUAACGCAUGGAAACGUGUGCUAAUACCGUAUACGCCCUACGGGGGAAAGAUUUAUCGGGGAUGGAUGAGCCCGCGUUGGAUUAGCUAGUUGGUGGGGUAAAGGCCUACCAAGGCGACGAUCCAUAGCUGGUCUGAGAGGAUGAUCAGCCACAUUGGGACUGAGACACGGCCCAAACUCCUACGGGAGGCAGCAGUGGGGAAUAUUGGACAAUGGGCGCAAGCCUGAUCCAGCCAUGCCGCGUGAGUGAUGAAGGCCUUAGGGUUGUAAAGCUCUUUCACCGGAGAAGAUAAUGACGGUAUCCGGAGAAGAAGCCCCGGCUAACUUCGUGCCAGCAGCCGCGGUAAUACGAAGGGGGCUAGCGUUGUUCGGAAUUACUGGGCGUAAAGCGCACGUAGGCGGAUCGAUCAGUCAGGGGUGAAAUCCCAGAGCUCAACUCUGGAACUGCCUUUGAUACUGUCGAUCUGGAGUAUGGAAGAGGUGAGUGGAAUUCCGAGUGUANAGGUGAAAUUCGUAGAUAUUCGGAGGAACACCAGUGGCGAANGCGGCUCACUGGUCCAUUACUGACGCUUAGGUGCGAAAGCGUGGGGAGCAAACAGGAUUAGAUACCCUGGUAGUCCACGCCGUAAAC